Non-coding RNA from Phasianus colchicus (ring-necked pheasant), 2826 nucleotides. NCBI's taxonomy places the organism in Eukaryota, Metazoa, Chordata, Aves, Galliformes, Phasianidae. The record is from RefSeq and is a predicted model, not a curated record.
UAAACAUUAUUGCCACAAAGUGGGGAAAAAAAGGAGUGGGGGAGAAGAACACUCACCACUCCUAUAACCACCUCUUGGCACAAACACAGCCAGAGCUGCCACCAGUGCUGGUGCUUGGGUUGAGCUGAGCAUCUGCUCAGUGAAAAUGUCUGAGGGAACAUGACAUGAGGUUGUUGGAAGGAAAAGUGCUCUCAGACAUGUUACAACCCAGUGUGAGGGAAAAAACAUUUCAUUUUCAUGUAAGAAACCUUAGGAAAAAAAAGAAAUGACAUGGUUAUGAAACACAAAGAUAAGCUGACUAGACUUCUUUUUCCAUUGUAGUUCAGGCACUGAACCUCUAUGGCCUCCUUUGUCCCCAAGAUCAACUGCUCACACUCCACGCCAGGAAUGAAUUUGGAAGCUGAAAGGAGAGCACACUGCCAGGCCUUUGGGUUAUAAGCCUCCCAGCAUGUCAGAGACUUUUAAGACAAGCUGCCAGUGACAUUUGCAGACAUACACUGUACAAAACAUUUCUGUGUGCUUUUUUAGGGAACCUAUGGAGAAGAGCCUGCUGGACGUGGCUGGAGUGUCCCUUUGCUGACCUGCUUCAGAGCUGUAUCUCCCUGGGGACUGUCCUUAAUGUAGCAGUAUGCUUGAAUAACUUCAGCUUUGUUGAAAAGACUGUUUCCAGUAAUAGAUUGUUCUCAUUAAUUUUCUCAUGCUCUUCAUUGCCACUGAGAUAAAGUUGUCUUCAGGUUUCUGGUGCUCUUUCAAGCAUCACAUUCAGUCAGACAUGUGCUUCUGAAAAAAUGAGGAAAUGAUGAGAGCAAAUCUGUGUUACUGUUAUUGCUGUGGAAGUCUUAACCAACCAUUCUUUUAACAAUGGCCUUUCUCUGAUAAUGGGCUCCAGAAACACUCAGCAAGCAUUGAUGAAUGUCAGUGGGUGCCAUUUUUCUGCAUGGAGGUAUUCAGUGUCACACAUUUGUUCCAUACGCACUUCCAUGUCAGACGCCGUUCUGUCAGACUGCCCCUUGGCUGCCAUCUGUCUCACAGCAAAAACAUGGAAUGGGAUAUCAGUGGAAAUGUUCAACCUGUACUAUCAUACCACCAACAUCCACCUCUGACAUUGUGAGCCAACGUAUUAAAACAGAAGGCAUCAUUUCUGAACAGUCUAAUUAUUAGUUGCCAUUAUUAAUGAUCCAAGCAACAAGAAGGAUGGGAUACAAUUCUUGACAUGUACAUAUGCAGGCAGCACAAAGACUAGUGGGAUGGCAGACAACCAGAAAGGGCUGGUCUUCUAGGCUGACAUGAAUCAUCACAUUGAAUGGUCUCCAUAGAUUGUAGGAAUAGUGCUGCACUGCACUGCAUCAAGGUUCAUAGCAGAGCUGUAUGCCUCCUGGACAGACUGAUGGUGCAGCAUGUGAAGAUCCACACAGUGGCAGUCACCUCUGUCUAUCCACACGGGCAGCCCCCACCUGUUAAACAAGGUAGGACACAAAGGAAAGCUCUCAAAAAGAACCAGAAGGCUGAACAUCAUCAAGGAAUAUAGAAAAUGAUGUAUUGAUAAUGUUUGCUUUGUUUGUUUGUUUUAUUAUCACAAAUGACUGCUUAGUUUGGAUCAACACCCCAGGAUUUAAUCACACUGCGUAUUCUCACUACAGUAAUUUUACUUACUUAGCAACAGCUUCUGCCUUUUGUUCAGAAUGUUCUAGGCUUACAGUGUACAAUAAGGUAGCAAGAAGACAUCUACGAGAAGCAAUGUAUCUGAAAAAAAAAAAAAAAAGAGAGAGAGAAUGAGGGGUGAAGAGAGGAAGAGAAUAAAUUUCUAAAUUAAUAUGGCUGUUGGUAAAAUUUGAAAUGCAUAAGAAUUUUCACAGUGCAGUUGUGUAUGUACAAACAUGUACAUACGGAGUCCAUGACUGCAUCUCAGUGCCACCACCCUCCUGCAGUCCUGCAGCAGCCCCAGCAACCAAGGGCCAUAAGCAGAGAGGUGGGUGAAAAAGGGGCUUUGCUGACUUCCGUGAGCAAAAGAUGAGUGAUUGAGAGACAUCUGCCAGUCCUGAUCCACUUAUCAGCCAGGAUUUCAGCUUUGAGGAGAUUUCUUAGUCUGGACAGAGAGGGGAGAGGAAAGUGAAGAAGAAUUAAAAGAUGUCUGUUUGCCUGAUAGGAUCUAAAUGAUUUGACUGGCGGAACUCAGUUGUACUUACAUUUUCAAAUAUAAGGAUCUCAAUUCGCUUGUGGAAAAUGCUGAAGCUCAGUUCACAGAGCAAUCUAAUUCUCUUCAUGUGUUGUUCAGGAUAGCAGAGUUGUCUCCAAUACAUCCACAACCUUCCGGAGAUUUCCAAGCAUGACCCACAUCAGCUUAUAAUGGCUCAUUAUUGCUGCCACAUCAGAGAGCCUGUGGGCAACACUGAGCAUGGAACAAUGUGUUCAGAGCCUGUUUGCAUGCAUGCAAAGAAGGAACCUAUAUACGUACAGACAGAUGUGUAAUCAAGGGGACAGAGCCAGCUCUGAAAAGACAUCAUCAAUGUCCCAGAAAGGCAUUGGGCUCUUAACUAACAUUUUUUCAACAGUGUAUUCAGAAUCUAAUUGCAUUACUGUGGGUGGCAGGAAGCCAUCCUCCUUCAUCCAUGUGGGGAUAUAGAGAUUACUAAAGCAUCAGUAAAGGGUCAAAUGUAUUAUAGCAUUAAGACUGGUUUAUGCCCCAUUACUGGGCUUACUUAAGGAAAGAAAAAACUCAUUUGGUUACAAAGAAGAAAAAAUGCUGAAAGAUAUUCAGCACUAAGGGGAAGUCAAACAUCCCUCUUGGCUCAUAAUUAAAAGGAAAAAAAAAAGAAAGCUGGGAAA